Molecule: long non-coding RNA, 1748 nt
Organism: Labeo rohita (rohu)
Lineage: Eukaryota; Metazoa; Chordata; Actinopteri; Cypriniformes; Cyprinidae
Exons: 7
Source: RefSeq, a predicted model, not a curated record
UCUGCAGUUACUUGUAGCGAGUAUGGAAUACAGUGAAUGUCCAUUUUCUCUUCCCUCGAGAGGCCUCCGUUUCAACAAACAAAACAUUGCAAUUUCAACUUAGACUGUUGGAAAUGAGUAAUUUAAGAAGCAGAGUCGGUGGGCAUAACGCUAUUCAAAAACAGUCAUGAGUGCUGAUAAUGUUGUGUCACUGUUCUUACUGGUUUGGACUUUCGUGGCUGUCUGUCAAGCAUUUGAUGAUGAUUUUUACAGUCCAAGCUGUGAUGAUGUGACUGGAUCUGUGGGAGAAGAAGUAACUUUCACCUGCAGAGUUUCUCGGCAGAGAAAUGACUGCUGCAUUGCAAUGUACAUAUUUCUGUAUCCCGAGAUUUAUAAUGACUUACAAAUCUGUAAACAAAAGCCUCCUGAUGGCUCCUGUGGACAGAUGAACAGCUUCACAUGCCGCUACACUCCAAAUACAGAAAUGACAGGAAAAUUCAGAUUUGUUUUAGUAACAGAGUGUGGAGUAAAAAGAGCAGAAUUCAGUGUAAACAUAACAGGGCCCAUUAAACCUGAAUUUGACAUUGAAGCUCCUGAAUUCUGCAGUUUAAGCUGUGCAGAUGUGUCUGGAUCUGUAGGAAAAGAAGCAACUCUCAACUGCAGUGUCCCUCUGCUGUGCACUGAGUGCUGCAUUACAAAUUAUAUGUUUAAAUACAUCAAUAAUGAUGUCUCCGUAAUAUGUAAACACGUGCUUCCUGAGAACUCCUGUGAGCAGAGAAGCAGCUUCACAUGCCACUACACUCCAACUACAAAAAUGACAAAAAAUAAUUUUCUUUGUGCAAACAAAGUGUGGAUGGAAAAAAACUGAGUUCACUGUGGACACAAGAGAGACUGUUAUACCUCUAAUCGACACUGAAACUCCUGGUCAUGGAUCUGAGGCCCUCGUCAUUACUGGUGUAAGCUGUUUCAUCAUAUUCAUCAUCAUCGCUGUUAUUGCAAUCAUUUAUGUAAAGAGGUUUAAAAACAACAACUCUUCUGGGGUCCAGAUAAAUUAUGAAAGAGGUGUUUGUGCAGAACAACCAAUGAUGACAACACAUAAUUAGUAAAAACAACAUGAAGGCAAUGUUUCACUUUUCAUGAUGUUCACUUUAACUACAGUUGCUAUAGACACUAAAAUGUUGGGUUAAAAACAACACAGACCUAGGUGAAAUAUGGACAAACCCUGUGAUUGGGUUGUUUUUGACCUUCUGGUUAUUUAACUUGCCUAUUGUUACUUGCUUAAAAUAAACCCAAAAUAGGUUGGAAAUAAACAUUUCUUAAUAUGCUCAAUAAAUUACAUUUAUUAAUAAGUUGAAAUAAUAAUUUAAAAAUAAACGUUUUUAAUUGCUCAAGGUUCACCUUUUGAUUAUUGCUGAUGCCUAUGGUAAUUGUGUGUCUGAUUUACAACCUAUUUUGGGGUUCAUUUUAAGUCAGCCAUAUAUUAACAAGUGUAUAAAUUAGUUAAAUAAAACUACCCAGGUUUGUCUUUUUAUGUGUGCACAGUGUGCACAGCAAUGUUACACCAAUAUAUUUGUCAAGCCAGUUAAUCAGUGUGGCCAUAAGUAUCUGGAUCAGAUGAUAUUUUGCUUUUUUUUUUUCAAAGUCUUUUAAUACAGUUAUAGAGUAAAUGUUGUGUAAGUAUUGUAUGUUUUUAUGUCAUAUAUCUGUUUUUAUUAGCAUAGUAAUUGUAUUGACAGACUGAAAUGUUAUUAAAUGAUUAAAACUCUAAA